RNAcentral lists this ribosomal RNA (322 nucleotides) under uncultured Cercomonas. RNAcentral's name for it is "SSU rRNA". The stretch from base 106 to 322 matches the Rfam family "Eukaryotic small subunit ribosomal RNA", at positions 738 to 955 of the family's 1831-position model. The record is from RNAcentral. Lineage: Eukaryota; Cercozoa; Cercomonadida; Cercomonadidae.
GAUUUCUGGUAUGGCGCACUUGGCCCGUCUCGGUUACGAGUUUGUGUGCCGGUGUGCGCCUGCCAUCUUUCUGGGGAAUUAUGUUAGCCUUCAUUGGUUGAUGUAACUAGCCAGAUCUUUUACUUUGAAAAAAUUAGAGUGUUUAAAGCAGGCUUGUUGCUAUGAAUACAUUAGCAUGGAAUAAUAAUUUAGGACUUUGGUCUUAUUUUGUUGGUUUCUAGGACUAAAGUAAUGAUUGAUAGGGACAGUUGGGGGUGCUAGUAUUCAGCGGCCAGAGGUGAAAUUCUUGGAUUCGCUGAAGACUAACUUAUGCGAAAGCAUU